Molecule: non-coding RNA, 193 nt
Organism: Morus notabilis
Lineage: Eukaryota; Viridiplantae; Streptophyta; Magnoliopsida; Rosales; Moraceae
Source: Rfam
GUACUGAGAAGAGAGCUUUCUUCAGUCCACUCACGGGAGGUUAUAGGAUUCAAUUAGCUGCUGACUCAUUCAUCCAAAUACUGUGUUUCAAAAGGGCAGAAGAAAACCCAGUAAAUGAGUGAAUGAUGCGGGAGACAAGUUGGAUCUUAAGCUUCCUGUACUUGGACUGAAGGGAGCUCCCUUGAAUAUUCUA